CUGCGCUCUGCGAAUCCCGAGUUCAGCCUUUGGAACUUUGCCCGCGAGUGCUUUGCUGUGCUUAGUAGGUACAUCAGCAGGCUGUCUCCGGGCCCUUCUGAGGCCUGAGAAACCUCUUCCGAGGCCCUGCACUCCAGGGUGGGGCGGGGGAGGGGGGGUGCGGGUAAGUCACUUUCCUUAGAAUGACCGUCAGUGCUUCCUUGUCACCAGAGGGCACAGGUAGGGCGGGGUGGGGGGUGCGGUUUGAGCAGGUGACAGCAGGUUUAUCCUCACUCAGACCUGUGUUGAUACAACACGAGCGGCCUACUGGCGCUCUGGGCGAGCCUGGGUAGGAGAAGCACCUGGAGUGGCUGCCUCACUGUCACCCCAGGGAGGCCACCAGUGGAAUCCCCAGCUGGCCUGGCCCCACCCGGCCUGGCCCCAGCAGGCAAAGGCUCCUCCCUCAGGGGUCGGUGCAAGGAGGUCCCUGGAGAGCUGCAGCCCCCCCACUGGCUCCAGCCCCCAGUCCAGGACCUGCUCAGAAGAAGCUGGGGUAGGAGGCGCUGCUUUGGGGUCUGCAUGAAGCAACAUCUUCUCUCUCUCUCUAUGAAAACAUUGCUUCAUUCAUCAGAGAGGGCAAUAUGAAAAGUUGAUUUACUUUGUUGUCAAAAGGCAAAAAUAGGGACCAGACCGUAUAUUCUGGAGGGAGGAGGUAUUUAGGUUCCAGUGGAUAAAUUGGGGAACAUUUCUGGAGCACAAGCUUUACGGUGGAGCUAGGCUGGCGAUGGAGUG
This is a long non-coding RNA of Phyllostomus discolor (pale spear-nosed bat), 771 nucleotides long. RefSeq lists it as uncharacterized. NCBI's taxonomy places the organism in Eukaryota, Metazoa, Chordata, Mammalia, Chiroptera, Phyllostomidae. The record is from RefSeq and is a predicted model, not a curated record. The transcript has 2 exons.